AACGAACGCUGGCGGCAUGCCUAAUACAUGCAAGUCGAACGAUCACUUCGGUGGUAGUGGCGCACGGGUGCGUAACGCGUGGGAAUCUGCCCUUGGGUUCGGAAUAACGUCGGGAAACUGACGCUAAUACCGGAUGAUGACGUAAGUCCAAAGAUUUAUCGCCCAGGGAUGAGCCCGCGUAGGAUUAGCUAGUUGGUGGGGUAAAGGCCUACCAAGGCGACGAUCCUUAGCUGGUCUGAGAGGAUGAUCAGCCACACUGGGACUGAGACACGGCCCAGACUCCUACGGGAGGCAGCAGUAGGGAAUAUUGGACAAUGGGGGCAACCCUGAUCCAGCAAUGCCGCGUGAGUGAUGAAGGCCUUAGGGUUGUAAAGCUCUUUUACCCGGGAUGAUAAUGACAGUACCGGGAGAAUAAGCCCCGGCUAACUCCGUGCCAGCCGCCGCAGUAA
RNAcentral lists this ribosomal RNA (449 nucleotides) under uncultured bacterium. RNAcentral's name for it is "partial 16S ribosomal RNA". It matches the Rfam family "Bacterial small subunit ribosomal RNA", at positions 29 to 523 of the family's 1533-position model. The record is from RNAcentral.